UAAUCCCGUAUCCAAAUACUUGCCCAGAGAGACCCCUUCACAUAAAAAAUCUACUCUUUCUCCGUCCCUCUCUCGACCGCCUUAAUCUUUUCUUCCCUGCAAUUCAUUAGUUUUUAUCUCCGCAGUUGUUAAUGCCAAACCUACCCUCUGUUUCUCUUACCCAAAUGCCUCUCUCGCCGGAACCCUACCGUUCCGGUGGUUGCCGGCUGAAUUCUAGAUAGCAUUCGAGGAUUUUUUGCGGGGGUUUUGGAUUUCUUUAUUCGAUUCGGUGCUGCCUGUUUGGGAGUGCACGUUGUGAAAGAAUUUUGUGUUCUUCGGGUUGUUUGUCUUUCUGUGAUCAGCGCGCCUAUGGCUCCGGGGCGUAAAAAAGGAGCGAACAAGGCCAAGGGAAAUAGUAAGUUAAUUUUGGGCGAUCUCGUUCUCGCUAAGGUCAAGGGACACCCCUACUGGCCGGCUAAGAUAAGCCGACCCGAAGACUGGGAUAAACCUCUCGACCCAAAGAAAUAUUUUGUUCAGUUUUUUGGAACCGAAGAAAUUGCUUUUGUUAGCCCCACCGAUAUUCAGGCAUUCACUAGCGAGGCAAAGAGUAAAUUGAUUGCUCGGUGUCAAGGUAAACCCAGGUUCUUUGCCCAAGCAGUGAAGGAGAUCUGUGCUGCAUUUGAAGAGUUGCAUAAAGAGAAACCAAGCGCUUUGAGAGGCGAUACUGAUAGAUCUGCUUCAGGUUAUGAGGCUUCCUCUAUUAAUAGGAUAGAAGAUGAUGGUAUAGAGAUCGACAUAAAAGAUGAAACACGUUCAGUGAGACAUGGAGGAGACGUUGGAACUAAGUUGGAGCACAACUCUUGCCGACAAGGUGAACCUGAGAGUGAAGACGAAAAGCUGACUAUUCCAUGUCCUGCAAAGGACAUUGUAUCUCCAAUUACAUCUUCUGGAAAUGAAGAUAAUGUAUCAAAUGAUGCACAAGCAGCAGAGGAAUCAUCGUCCAUGUCUAGCUGGGACAAUCCUUCCAAAGUAAAGGAUGAGACGACUGGUGAUCUGAAUGAUGUUAAAAGUAUUCAGCAGCCUGAUAAUGGGCGACGGACAGUGGUAAAUGGUCACAAGUCAAAGAAGUUGGUAGGUUUUUCCAAAAGGGGAACUGAGGGUGGACAAAAACGUAGUAGCUCGAAGGAAACUUCAUUAAAAGCCAAUAGUUCUGUUAGGCGCAUGAAGGAUUGUUCCCCGGAUGCUGUCAAAUCAAAUUCUGAUAUCACUGGCAUUAAGAAAGUAAGAGACCUGGCGAAGGCCAGAAAAAGUUCCGAGGUAUCAGAUGAAAUUCAAAAAAAUGUUGGUUUAAAGAAUGAGUUCUCGGAGAAGAAAAAGAGAGCACAAUAUGGACUUGGAAAAUCAGUGCAGGGAGAUAAUGAAGUUCUUCAUUCAAACAAAAGGGCUAAGCGGAUUGAUGGGACUAAGGGUUCUCACCAGAAAACCAUGGAGAGAGAUUCAGCAAGUUCUAAGCCUGCUGCACUACAAGAAUCAGAGUUGAAAAGAUCUGCAUCUCGAAUUAAAUCAGAAGAUCAUUCCCGAAAAGGUAAAACUGGAUCUGAUGAUUCUGGUGAUGAAACCGUGCUUCCACUGACAAAGCGUCGAAGACGUGCCUUUGAGGCCAUGUCUGAUUCUGCCACUAUGAAAUCCGAAGAUCCAGUGGACAAAAGUUCUCUGGAGAUGAAGAAUUCUAGUGGCAAUAAAAUUCUGCUUCCUCAACCUCCUAGAAGGAGGAGAGCAGUACGCAUUGAGGAAGAUGAUGAUGAUAACCCCAAAACUCCAGUUCACGGGGGAUUGGGCGGAAAUUUUAAAGCACCUCCAUCUGUUCGUGAAACUUCAAGAAGUGCUGACACACAUUAUGAGAGUUCCCUUAACGCUGAGCAGAGUGCUAAGGAUCCCACGGGUCUUAGGCUCAUUGCUUCUCUGUCACUGGACCGAUUAGAGAGACCUGGUACUCGUGAUUUUCUUAGUCCGGUAAAAUCAGAACCUGAGAAUUCAUCGUCCGAGGAGGUCAAAACAAUCUUGAGUUCUCCCAAGCCAAAACCAGUCUUGAUUUCCCCUAUGAAGUCUCCUAACUUGUUUCCUGGUACCAAACCAAUUGUUCAGCAGCAUAAAACUAUUAAACCUGUGGUCAAAGUUGCUGGUACUGGUGGUCAGAAAAAGGUCUCGGCUGUGUCUAGUAAGAGUUUGGGAGUGAUUUCUGAUCCUGUGAACACUAGCCAAAAUGAGGUAGCAAGUCAAAAAAACAGGCAAACUUCUUCUGGAGAAAGACCAAGAACCUUCCCAAAAGUGGUUUCACGGUUGAGUGAGCCUACUGUUGUAACUGAAGCCUCAAACGGGUAUCAUUCAUCUUCUGAAAUAUUAGAAGCUGUUCAUGAAGAUAAAAUUAGUUCAUUGAUCGACUCGAAGACUGCAGACUCUGUUACUUCCAUGAAGAAUCUUAUAGCUGCAGCUCAGGCAAAAAGGAAACAAGCUCACUCGCAACAAUUUUCUCUUGCAAAUUCUUCUUCUUUUUCCCCUUCCACUGAUACCCCCUCUAGACUUCAGCCUUUUUCCUCCGGCACCAGCGUACAUGCUGAAUUACAGGUAUCUCAAACUAAUUUUACUUCACCAUCAACUCAUAGCCAUCAGUCAGCAUCACGAAAUGAACCUGAUAAUGAAGAAGUUGAGGAGAGGAGAGUUAGUUCAGGAUAUAGGGCUGCUGGAGGCUCAUUGAGUGGUGGUACUGAGGCAGCUGUGGCCCGUGACUCUUUCGAAGGGAUGAUAGAAACUUUGUCAAGGACUAAAGAAAGUAUUGGAAGAGCAACUCGUCAUGCCAUUGAUUGUGCCAAGUACGGUAUUGCAAAUGAGGUUGUGGAACUUCUCAUCCGGAAGUUGGAGAGUGAGCCUAGUCUUCAUCGUAAAGUUGACCUCUUCUUUCUUGUGGAUUCAAUCACCCAGUGUUCCCAUAAAGAUAAAGGUAUUGCUGGUGCUUCUUACAUCCCUACAGUUCAAGCGGCACUGCCCCGGCUUCUGGGUGCUGCUGCUCCUCCUGGACCUGGUGCUCGUGAAAAUCGCCGUCAGUGUAUGAAGGUUUUGCGUUUGUGGCUUGAGAGGAAAAUCCUCCCUGAAUCUGUAUUGCGUCGCUAUAUGGAUGAUAUUGGGGUUUCAAAUGAAGAAACGGGUUCUGGGUUUUCCCUUCGUCGACCAUCUCGAGCUGAGCGUGCUGUGGAUGAUCCCAUUAGAGAAAUGGAGGGCAUGCUUGUUGAUGAGUAUGGCAGUAAUGCUACAUUUCAAUUGCCUGGCGGCUUUUUAUGUCCUCGUGUAUUUGAAGAUGAUGAAGACGAUUUUCCAAGCAAUUUCCACAGGGAAGCAGGUGAUUUAUCACUAGAUGAACUACCUUCUGUGAUUGGAGAAUCAGAAACUUGUGCUAUUACUUCAAAUGACAAGCGUCAUUGCAUCUUAGAGGACGUGGAUGGUGAGCUAGAAAUGGAGGAUGUUUCUGGACACUCAAAGGAUGAUGGACCUUUGUUUGCAAGCUGUGCUUCCGAAUUGGGUUCACAGCGUAUGGGCUUAGAUAGGAUAAUGGAGUCAGCUUCAACUAAUUCCAGCGAGUUGGCCCCCUUACCAGAGGGUUCGCCACCAUUACCACCGGACUCUCCUCCUCUGCCCCCACCUUUGCCUCCUUCCCCACCUCCCCCACCCACUAUUCAUCCACCACCACCACCCCCAUCCCCAUCCCCAUCAUCUCCAUCACCCCCACCCCCACCCCCACCACUCCCCACUCUUCCAUCACAGCCACCCCCUCCAGGAGCAACUUCAGGUUGUCCGCCACCACCAUCAGGGCCUCCAUUUGCGGUUAUACCUCAGCCAUCAGUACCAACUCAGCCUGCAUUGCUGGCCCAACCAUUGUUACCCCCUCAAGCACCGCUUCGGUCAUCACCACAGCUGGCAUAUCAAGCACCUAUUCCUCACAAGUUUUGUACUUCUGGAGGUGACCAAAUUGCCCCAGUUUCUGGAAAUGGAACACAGCAGUCAUCUUGCUUUGUGCCAACGGGGGUUUGCAGUUCUCGAGAACUUUCUGGAUUUAAUUCUUCAAGGUCAAUGGAUUAUGGACAUAAUGACAUGUAUUUAAAUGCUCAGGCGCCUCAACCAAGUCAGCAGUUUCAACCAAGUACUACAUCUUUUGUGCAAAGACCUUUGCAUCCAAGCAUACCGCAAGUUUCAUCCAACCAUUUCUCUUAUCCAAAUCCUGCAAAUCUGCAACCUCCUCAGCAUUCUUAUCCCCUUCCAUAUCCUUUACCAUCUCAUCCUGAUGGGCACAGACGAUUUGUCCCUUCUGAUGAACAGUGGAGGAUGGUGUCAAGUGAAUUUACUGCAGAGAAUUCACGAGGGAUGUUGAUGGGUGGAAGGAGAACUCCAUCUAAUCCGGGCCCCUCUUAUGUCCAUGAAGGUUACUUUCGACCACCCCUGGAAAGGCCAUCUGCAAAUAACUUGAGCUUUCAGCAUCCUGUUCCUAACAACUUACAAGCUGGUGCUCCAAGCCCAGGGCUUGGUGUUUCGCAAAUUUUGCCAUGUGGACCGGACAUGCCUGCCCUUAACUGUUGGCGACCAACCUAAGAAUGUGUCCGAAGCCUACAACUCACUUCUGUGGUUAGUGUGAAAGGUUAUGGAUAGGCAUUGUAAUAUCUCCUCCUUAGAUGGUCCUUGUCAUGGACAAAUUCUAGCAGCCACUUGAAGCAAAGCUAGAGAACUUGUGGAGACUCUUGGCAGGACUCUGUAUAUUGUAUUUUUUCCUGACAAAUGUAUCCAUCAAACGUUUGCUUCGAAGUGUAGAUCCAUUUUUCUGAUUUGUUUAUGGAGUCUCAGAUUGCCCAUGCUACUUGGUGUUAUUUCGAGCUAAGAAGUGGAUGUUUGCUUUUACUGCAUUGUCCAAAAUACUUGACAACAUUGAUGCAGUUGAGAUCACUUUAGUGGGAUUCGAUCAACUUGAACCUUUGGAUAGGUGACCUAGAAUUGCACGGUAGUCUGAUACAGGGUCAUGCAAAUGAAGUUAUGGAAGAAAUGUGGUGCAAUGGAACGGGCUUGACAAUCUGAUUUCAAGCUCCACUUGGACGUUGGCCAGAUAGAUGAUGAACAGCUAUUCUCCUCAUCCUGCAAGCUCGGUGUGCUUGAGGAUUUCCUGACUCUAGAAAAUCCAUUGGCC
This is an RNA transcript of Tripterygium wilfordii, 5203 nucleotides long. It is a transcript of the gene named ENHANCER OF AG-4 protein 2-like, with no coding region annotated. The record is from RefSeq and is a predicted model, not a curated record. The transcript has 14 exons. Lineage: Eukaryota; Viridiplantae; Streptophyta; Magnoliopsida; Celastrales; Celastraceae.